GUAUUAAAGGUCCUGCCUGCCCAGUGAACUAGUUUUAAACGGCCGCGGUAUCCUAACCGUGCAAAGGUAGCGUAAUCACUUGUUCUUUAAUUGAGGACUAGUAUGAACGGCCAUAUGAGGGCCUAACUGUCUCCUAUAGCCAAUCAAUGAACCUGAUCCCCCAGUACAAAAGCUGGAACACCCACAUAAGACGAGAAGACCCUGUGGAGCUUCAAACAAACCCUAAGCCCCACUAAACCCAACAGGCAUAACACACAGGUGUGAUUAGAUAAGUUUUCAGUUGGGGCGACUGUGGGGUAAAAUAAAACCCCCACGAAACAAAAACAUGUAUCGGUGGACACACCUCCUACAAAAAUAAUGACCCAGUAUUACUGAUCAACGAACCAAGUUACCCCAGGGAUAACAGCGCCAUCCCCUUUAAGAGUCCUUAUCACCAAGGGGGUUUACGACCUCGAUGUUGGAUCAGGACAUCCAGGUGGUGUAGCCGCUACCAAGGGUUCGUUUGUUCAACGAUUAAUAGUCCU
RNAcentral lists this ribosomal RNA (524 nucleotides) under Uroplatus finiavana. Its description in RNAcentral is "partial 16S ribosomal RNA". It matches the Rfam family "Bacterial large subunit ribosomal RNA", at positions 1843 to 2597 of the family's 2925-position model. The record is from RNAcentral. Lineage: Eukaryota; Metazoa; Chordata; Lepidosauria; Squamata; Gekkonidae.